RNAcentral lists this ribosomal RNA (253 nucleotides) under uncultured bacterium. RNAcentral describes it as "partial 16S ribosomal RNA". It matches the Rfam family "Bacterial small subunit ribosomal RNA", at positions 524 to 776 of the family's 1533-position model. The record is from RNAcentral.
GACGGAGGAUGUAAGUGUUAUCCGGAAUCACUGGGCGUAAAGCGUCUGUAGGUGGUCAAAUAAGUCAACUGUUAAAUCUUGAGGCUCAACCUCAAAAUCGCAGUCGAAACUAUUAGACUAGAGUAUAGUAGGGGUAAAGGGAAUUUCCAGUGGAGCGGUGAAAUGCGUAGAGAUUGGAAAGAACACCGAUGGCGAAGGCACUUUACUGGGCUAUUACUAACACUGAGAGACGAAAGCUAGGGUAGCAUAUGGG